CUCUGUGGGAGGACCUCGGUCCCCGUCCCUCGGGUCCAUGGGGCCCGGCGCAGCCGCCCCACAUGGCACACCCUUUGUCUUUGCAGGAGAAGCAUCUCGUUGCCCAGCUGGAAGAGCAGCUGCAGGCUGAGACAGAGGAGAUGGAGGUAGCGUGGAGGGGCGAGGGGAUGGGGGCUGCCCGCCCCCGCGUGGGGACCUGGAGGACGUCUGCAGCAGGCACGGGCACUCACGCUUUUGUCUGCCAGGUGCUGCGCCAGGAAAAAGAGCGCCUGCAACAGGAGCGGGAGGAGCUGGAGUUGAAGAGAGCCUGGUGAGUGGGACUGGGCCUCUGCAGCACCCGGGGCGGCAACGGGACUGCAGUGCAGCUGGGCUUGGGGCUUGGGUUUCAGUUCGGGCACAUGGUGUGCACGGGGGUGGGCACGCACUGCUGGGGAGCCCGUGUGCUGACAGAGGCCGGCACCCUCCAAGCAGGCCUUGUUCCCUACAGGCAGCAGCAUCAACAGCAGCUGGAGGCAGCCCACGUGCCUGGGGCUGUGCUGCCGGAGCUGGUGGAGGCAGAGCUGGUAAGGGGCAGAGCCCAGCGCACCCUCACCCCAUCCGACAAGGGUGUCCUCGGGGACAGGGCUUCCUGCAGCGCUGGGUCUGUGCUGCUGCGCUGCCGGGCUGCCACUGUCCUGCACGAGCCCCGGCUGUGCAGCAGGGCCUGACCAGCGCCCCUGCCCCGUCUUCACCUACAGGAGAAGGCUGAGCAGGCGAGGAGACGUGGGCUUGUCUUCUGGAUGAGGUGAGUAUCCCCCAUUGCCCUGUGCC
RNAcentral lists this long non-coding RNA (810 nucleotides) under Gallus gallus (chicken). Its description in RNAcentral is "lncRNA (ENSGALG00010000165.1)". The record is from RNAcentral. Lineage: Eukaryota; Metazoa; Chordata; Aves; Galliformes; Phasianidae.